This 253-nucleotide ribosomal RNA is filed under the name uncultured bacterium. RNAcentral describes it as "partial 16S ribosomal RNA". It matches the Rfam family "Bacterial small subunit ribosomal RNA", at positions 524 to 776 of the family's 1533-position model. The record is from RNAcentral.
UACGAAGGGGGCUAGCGUUGCUCGGAAUCACUGGGCGUAAAGGGUGCGUAGGCGGGUCUUUAAGUCAGGGGUGAAAUCCUGGAGCUCAACUCCAGAACUGCCUUUGAUACUGAAGAUCUUGAGUUCGGGAGAGGUGAGUGGAACUGCGAGUGUAGAGGUGAAAUUCGUAGAUAUUAGCUAGAACACCAGUGGCGAAGGCGGCCAACUGGUCCGAUACUGACGCUGAGGUGCGAAAGCGUGGGGAGCAAACAGG